Long non-coding RNA from Sander lucioperca (pikeperch), 428 nucleotides. RefSeq lists it as uncharacterized. Lineage: Eukaryota; Metazoa; Chordata; Actinopteri; Perciformes; Percidae. The transcript is spliced from 4 exons. The record is from RefSeq and is a predicted model, not a curated record.
UCAGUAGAUGUCACUGCAGUUCCACCACCAGCCAGGUGAGCGGUUGGACUGCAAUGCAUCCUGGGACACAGAGACCAGCAGAAGAGUACUCCGAUGGGCCAACAUCACUAAACAUAUUCAAGAAGUUGUCAAACAGAUUACCGCCACCAGUGAUUCUGAUGUGGAGGAAAGAAGUGUUAAGGAAGGAAGGAGGGAGGAGAGGAGAGAGAGAGUGGAUGUGAUGGACAUCUGCUGAAGAGUCUGGCCUUUCAGUAAUUGUGCCUGCUGCGGAGCAGAGGUCAGAGAGAUCUGUUCCUAAAACAGUAUGUGAAGGUAAUACUGUUUGUAGUUCAGUAGAAAUCUGAUGCAUCACAGUGGACAACCACAUACACUUGAUGCGUCCUCUCUGCCUCUCAACUGUACACUGUCAAUCAAAGGCACAGACACCC